Molecule: long non-coding RNA, 1147 nt
Organism: Salvelinus namaycush (lake trout)
Lineage: Eukaryota; Metazoa; Chordata; Actinopteri; Salmoniformes; Salmonidae
Exons: 3
Source: RefSeq, a predicted model, not a curated record
GCCGGUGGAGGCAUCACCUCGGUCGGCUUGAGCUUUAUACUUUCGACGAGGUGCAUAACUCCAGCCCAGAAACAAUACCCGAAUAGAUAGCCUACGUUUAUUGCUCUUUGGUCGCUUUCAUUAUAGCCUAGAGGUAGGCUAAAUCAAGUUAGUAGGCUAUACCGGUGAUUGAUUUUUUAAAGUAUGAAUUUAGCUCAGGAAAACGAAGAUUCCAAAUAGAUUCGUUGUGGUUCCAUUUCAUGUGAAGAUUAUGUUGUCAGUUUAGGUUACAUUUUUACCUCAUAGCCAUUAUAUCUGGUUUCGUUUGUUUAGAAAUCCGCGUGCAGUUUUAUCUGUUGAAGUGUUGAUCGUGGUUUGGCCAUAAUAGCAUACAGUUUGUUCCCUCACUGGUUGUGCUUAAUGAUAUACUUACACAGACUAUGCUGAGACGGUAAGAGAGUCCACAGCCACCCGUACCUGAAUGUGGGCUAUCGGACUCGAUUUAGUGAUUAUAUUUCAUGUCUGUCCAUUUCCGUGACUCGCUGCUGUUUUGUGAACGAUUCACAGCAAGGACAGCGAUUAAUAAACCGGACAUUGCCACUUUAAAAACUGCCCCGGGUCAUUCGAAAAGCGCAGAGGCAGAUGCUGCGUCGAGGCAAGAAGAAAAGAAAACAAAUGAAUGAAUUUCGAGGGCAAAAUCGACAGAUAGAACGCGGUUGAACACACACAAUACUCCAUGCAGCUCCGGGAAUGUCCCUGCCUGCAGCCGGCCCUCUCCUCCCCGGCUUCCCAAACUUUGAUCAGCGAGGCCUGGCCGCGGAGCCGUGCAGCAUGGUUUGCUGGCAGAGGAGGAUGGGUAUAAAUGGAGACUGUCACAGGAGAGGAUGGUAAAGACCAGGGGCAUGUUCAGGAGGCAGACAACGUUUUGAAACAGAGUGAAACAGCUAAGGUGUGCCCUCCUUAACAGGCCCCUGCCCCUGGUAGAGGUGCCAGCUGGGGCACUGGCCUGGGCAUGGUUCCCUCAGACUCAGAGAGACAUUGGCAUGCAGGGCAUCAUGUCACAGUGUGGGGCACCAGGGGAGCGUCAGUGGGCAAACCAUAGAAAUAUAAUGAAUAGAACAGGCGUCCCCAUUCAAGUCAAUUAUGCCCACAGUGGAGGUGUCAUAAU